GUAACGAGCCGCACACCUCUGCCGCAAAGCCGGACAUCCUUCCCCAGCAUGCCAUGAAAGAGCCGCGGUGAACACCUGACAGCCGGCAUGCAGCAGUGGCUGGAGAGGUGCACGGAGGACACCCCCAAGUAGAGACUCACAUGGAUGUCCUGCCUGAGUGUCCCGCCGAACUACACCUGCAUACUAUGGGACUACACAGGCAAGAUCCAGCACCCAUGAUGAACUGACCACAGGCCCCCGAGGUGACCAUGUAACUUCCCACUGCAAAGUAGCAGCUCUGUCCUUAAAUCUUUUACUCCCACUAGCCACUUGACAGGAUGGAAUGGUGGCCUGGUGCCAUUAGUAUUAAAUCAUAAUGUGGCUGCUAAAAGUUAGACACCUGCAGGAUAGUGUGCCCUUAGUUUAACUCAGCUAGACCGGUGAGCCUCGGUUAGCUACACCAUGCUAAAUUGUUUUAAAGUAUUCUAUUCUGUGAAAAGCGCCCCACUACUCUCUGCAACAGGGCCUGGUCUCCCAGUGGCAAUAACAGUUUGUACCUUUCUAAGGUUUCACUAGCCUAUUAUAAUAACCUGUAACAACGCAAGCUCCUAGCAAACCAUGUCUUAGACCCGAUCUUAGUGAUGCUAAACGGUUGGCCAUCUCAACAAGGUAUAAAAUGCAUGUCUGUAUACGCUUGCGCUGCGACUAAUUCUUGUUUUAAGUUUUAAACCAAAAAAUGUAUGCAGCUACUCAUGACAUACUGAGUUUAUACUUGAAGCCUGUAACCAUUCAUAAUGCAACUUAAAUCUAUGUCAAUGUUACGCAAUGUUUGUUUUCACUGCACUCCAAAAAUAAA
Non-coding RNA from Pelobates cultripes (western spadefoot toad), 835 nucleotides. Lineage: Eukaryota; Metazoa; Chordata; Amphibia; Anura; Pelobatidae. The record is from the annotation of a GenBank genome assembly.